Molecule: ribosomal RNA, 716 nt
Filed under: Bacillus cereus
Lineage: Bacteria; Bacillati; Bacillota; Bacilli; Caryophanales; Bacillaceae
Description: bacterial SSU rRNA
Rfam family: Bacterial small subunit ribosomal RNA
Source: RNAcentral
GUUUGAUCCUGGCUCAGGAUGAACGCUGGCGGCGUGCCUAAACAUGCAAGUCGAGCGAAUGGAUUAAGAGCUUGCUCUUAUGAAGUUAGCGGCGGACGGGUGAGUAACACGUGGGUAACCUGCCCAUAAGACUGGGAUAACUCCGGGAAACCGGGGCUAAUACCGGAUAACAUUUUGAACGCAUGGUUCGAAAUUGAAAGGCGGCUUCGGCUGUCACUUAUGGAUGGACCCGCGUCGCAUUAGCUAGUUGGUGAGGUAACGGCUCACCAAGGCAACGAUGCGUAGCCGACCUGAGAGGGUGAUCGGCCACACUGGGACUGAGACACGGCCCAGACUCCUACGGGAGGCAGCAGUAGGGAAUCUUCCGCAAUGGACGAAAGUCUGACGGAGCAACGCCGCGUGAGUGAUGAAGGCUUUCGGGUCGUAAAACUCUGUUGUUAGGGAAGAACAAGUGCUAGUUGAAUAAGCUGGCACCUUGACGGUACCUAACCAGAAAGCCACGGCUAACUACGUGCCAGCAGCCGCGGUAAUACGUAGGUGGCAAGCGUUAUCCGGAAUUAUUGGGCGUAAAGCGCGCGCAGGUGGUUUCUUAAGUCUGAUGUGAAAGCCCACGGCUCAACCGUGGAGGGUCAUUGAAACUGGGAGACUUGAGUGCAGAAGAGGAAAGUGGAAUCGAGCGAAGCGAGAGAUAUGGAGGAACACCAGGCGAAGGCGAC